AUUUAAAUAGCUUAAUAAGAGCGUAGUGUUGAAGCCACUAAGGUAAUUUUUUAUUUUUAAAUA
RNAcentral lists this transfer RNA (63 nucleotides) under Curculionoidea sp. 27 KM-2017. RNAcentral's name for it is "tRNA-Phe". The record is from RNAcentral. Lineage: Eukaryota; Metazoa; Arthropoda; Insecta; Coleoptera.